RNAcentral lists this ribosomal RNA (468 nucleotides) under uncultured bacterium. RNAcentral describes it as "partial 16S ribosomal RNA". It matches the Rfam family "Bacterial small subunit ribosomal RNA", at positions 28 to 507 of the family's 1533-position model. The record is from RNAcentral.
GACGAACGCUGGCGGCGUGCUUAACACAUGCAAGUCGAACGGAAAGGCCCUGCUUUUGUGGGGUGCUCGAGUGGCGAACGGGUGAGUAACACGUGAGUAACCUGCCCUUGACUUUGGGAUAACUUCAGGAAACUGGGGCUAAUACCGGAUAGGAGCUCCUGCUGCAUGGUGGGGGUUGGAAAGUUUCGGCGGUUGGGGAUGGACUCGCGGCUUAUCAGCUUGUUGGUGGGGUAGUGGCUUACCAAGGCUUUGACGGGUAGCCGGCCUGAGAGGGUGACCGGCCACAUUGGGACUGAGAUACGGCCCAGACUCCUACGGGAGGCAGCAGUGGGGAAUAUGGCACAAUGGGCGGAAGCCUGAUGCAGCAACGCCGCGUGCGGGAUGACGGCCUUCGGGUUGUAAACCGCUUUCGCCUGUGACGAAGCGUGAGUGGCGGUAAUGGGUAAAGAAGCACCGGCUAACUACGUG